This 222-nucleotide ribosomal RNA is filed under the name uncultured bacterium. RNAcentral describes it as "partial 16S ribosomal RNA". It matches the Rfam family "Bacterial small subunit ribosomal RNA", at positions 328 to 539 of the family's 1533-position model. The record is from RNAcentral.
ACGCUCGACACCUACGGAGGCAGCAGUAGGGAAUCUUCCACAAUGGGCGCAAGCCUGAUGGAGCAACACCGCGUGAGUGAAGAAGGGUUUCGGCUCGUAAAGCUCUGUUGUUGGAGAAGAACGUGCGUGAGAGUAACUGUUCACGCAGUGACGGUAUCCAACCAGAAAGUCACGGCUAACUACGUGCCGACAGCCGCGGUAAUCUGAGCGGGCUGGCAAGGC